GGAGUCGGUCGGACGGCGGCCCCGGCCUCGGCCGGGGAGGAAAGUCCGGGCUCCGAAGGGCAAGGCGCCGGGGGCAACCCCGGGCGGAGCGAUCCGACGGAAAGUGCCACAGAAACCAGACCGCCCGCCCCCGCCACGGCGGAGGCGAGCAAGGGUGAAAAGGUGGGGUAAGAGCCCACCGGCGCGCUCGGCAACGGGCGCGGCCGGGCAAACCCCGCCCGGAGCAAGGCCGAAUAGGGGAGCUACGCGGUGGCCCGCCGCGCUCCCGGGUAGGCCGCAUAGAUAGAUCGCCGUACAAAGACAGAACCCGGCUUACAGACCGACUCCCAAC
Molecule: RNase P RNA, 331 nt
Filed under: Armatimonadota bacterium
Lineage: Bacteria; Bacillati; Armatimonadota
Description: Armatimonadetes bacterium (sediment metagenome) RNase P RNA component class A
Rfam family: Bacterial RNase P class A
About the family: Ribonuclease P (RNase P) is a ubiquitous endoribonuclease, found in archaea, bacteria and eukarya as well as chloroplasts and mitochondria. Its best characterised activity is the generation of mature 5'-ends of tRNAs by cleaving the 5'-leader elements of precursor-tRNAs. Cellular RNase Ps are ribonucleoproteins.
Source: RNAcentral